RNAcentral lists this long non-coding RNA (492 nucleotides) under Rattus norvegicus (Norway rat). Its description in RNAcentral is "long non-coding RNA NONRATT014759". Lineage: Eukaryota; Metazoa; Chordata; Mammalia; Rodentia; Muridae. The record is from RNAcentral.
GACUCUCUGUGAGUGAUUCACUUAGCCUCACCGGCUAGAGACACGCUGCACAGAUUUCUAGAACAUGUUGAUCUCUGUUACCCUGCGUCUCCAGAGCUCUAAUCGUGGCUGUACAGGAAAUACUGCAUUGAUACACAUCAGAGUUUGAAAGAAAGGACCUGAAAAACAGCACCUGUGGGGCAACCAUACCAUGUUGUGUGUCUGGGAGGUUUUGUCUACACUAUCCCACCAUAUCUUUAUAAACUUUCGAGCUUGUCCAUGGCUCAACUUUCUGAUGGCCCCACAGGCUCAGAGCAAUUUAUUGACCCAAAGUUACACAACUAAAAAGAACCCAGGUGCCUGUUCUCUUUCCUCAAAGACCCUGUUUCAGGAGUUAAGAGUAUGGGCUCGGGGCUGGGGAUUUAGCUCAGUGGUAGAGCGCUUACCUAGGAAGCGCAAGGCCCUGGGUUCGGUCCCCAGCUCCGAAAAAAAAGAACCAAAAAAAAAAAAAAA